AGAGUUUGAUCAUGGCUCAGAUUAAACGCUGGCGGCAUGCCUUACACAUGCAAGUCGAACGGUAGCGCGGGGCAACCUGGCGACGAGUGGCGAACGGGUGAGUAAAGCAUCGGAACGUGCCCUGGAAUGGGGGAUAACGUAGCGAAAGUUACGCUAAUACCGCAUAUUCUGUGAGCAGGAAAGCAGGGGAUCGCAAGACCUUGCGUUCUGGGAGCGGCCGAUGUCGGAUUAGCUAGUUGGUGGGGUAAAGGCCUACCAAGGCGACGAUCCGUAGCGGGUCUGAGAGGAUGAUCCGCCACACUGGGACUGAGACACGGCCCAGACUCCUACGGGAGGCAGCAGUGGGGAAUUUUGGACAAUGGGCGGAAGCCUGAUCCAGCCAUGCCGCGUGAGUGAAGAAGGCCUUCGGGUUGUAAAGCUCUUUCGGCGGGGAAGAAAUUGCACGGGUUAAUACCCUGUGUAGAUGACGGUACCCGAAUAAGAAGCACCGGCUAAUUACGUG
This 502-nucleotide ribosomal RNA is filed under the name uncultured bacterium. RNAcentral's name for it is "bacterial SSU rRNA". It matches the Rfam family "Bacterial small subunit ribosomal RNA", at positions 8 to 507 of the family's 1533-position model. The record is from RNAcentral.